This 565-nucleotide ribosomal RNA is filed under the name uncultured bacterium. Its description in RNAcentral is "bacterial SSU rRNA". It matches the Rfam family "Bacterial small subunit ribosomal RNA", at positions 345 to 913 of the family's 1533-position model. The record is from RNAcentral.
GAGGCAGCAGUNGGGGAAUUUUGGGCUAUGGGCGAAAGCCUGACCCAGCCAACGCCGCGUGAGGGAUGAAGUAUUUCGGUAUGUAAACCUCGAAAGAAUAGGAAGAAUAAAUGACGGUACUAUUUAUAAGCUCCCGGCUAACUACGUGCCAGCAGCCGCCGGUAAUACGUAGGGAGCAAGCGUUGUUCGGAUUUACUGGGCGUAAAGGGCGCGUAGGCGGCUAUAUUAAGUCAGCUGUGAAAUCUCCGAGCUUAACUCGGAACUGUCAGCUGAUACUGACGUGCUAGAGUGCAGAAGGGGCAAUCGGAAUUCUUGGUGUAGCGGUGAAAUGCGUAGAUAUCAAGAGGAACACCUGAGGUGAAGACGGGUUGCUGGGCUGACACUGACGCUGAGGCGCGAAAGCCAGGGGAGCACCACCGGGAUUAGAUACCCCGGUAGUCCUGGCCCCUAAACGAUGGAAUACUUGGUGUCUGGAGUUUCAAUACUCCGGGUGCCAGUCGCUAACGUUUUAAGUAUUCCGCCUGGGGAUGUACGCACGCAAGUGUCCAAACUCGAAAGGAAUUAG